This is a long non-coding RNA of Lutra lutra (Eurasian river otter), 1635 nucleotides long. RefSeq lists it as uncharacterized. The transcript is spliced from 5 exons. The record is from RefSeq and is a predicted model, not a curated record. NCBI's taxonomy places the organism in Eukaryota, Metazoa, Chordata, Mammalia, Carnivora, Mustelidae.
CUCCAGUGCCAGGAAGACUGAGAGGAAUGCAGCCGGUUUGGAGGCUGGGAAUCUGGGUUUGGAGCCACAGGGGGGGCUUGGCCCAAGGCACCGAGUUCAUGAGCCUGUGAAGGCUGCAGUGCCCAGCAGCAGGAAGAGGGCAAAGUAGAGCAAGUAAGAAGGACUCGGAUACAAACACAGCUGAUGUGUCCCUGAAAACUCAAGGAUAAUCGGGUCAGAGAUUUCGCAGGGAACGGAACUUGUUUACGUGUAUUAGACAUCAUGGUCAAGAGGAAAGAGCUUCUGGCUGUAGAGUCAGACCUGUCUGAGGACAGAUCCCAGGUCCAUCCCUCACUAGAUGCAAUGAGGAUCUCCUGCAAUAUCAUUUCUUUUCUCACAUCUAGAAGCACUUAAUACUUAAGCACAUGAUGCUUAAGAUUUGGAGCAGUACACAUACAGAAGAGAGCAGAAAUGAUAAUGCCUAGUGAACACCAACAACACAUUCUUCUAAGUAAAUGGACACAGUUAAUAUACAUGAAGAUGAAAGAAUGACUUCGAGCAUUUAUUCAAUCAUGUUCUGGGCUACCUAUGAACAACAAAGAUAUUUACAACACUGAGCAGAGGGAAGACCCUUCCAGCCUCAUGUGCCAAAGUCCUAUCAGAAAUUGCUUCAAGAAAGCAAGUGCCUGAUUUUACAUUUGAGUAAUUGUCUGACUACCGAAUUGUUUCUUAUCAACCAUCAGCAGCUUUUCCGUAGGAGCCUAAGAAGCAGAGCACAGACCCCCCCCCCCCCCCCCCCCCCCCGCCCGGUCUGCAGCCGGCUGAGGUAAGGAUCAUUAACACCACUGACAUCACUUUUGGCAGCCAGAGAAAAGGGAAAACCUGUGUUUAAUCUACUUCCUACUCACCACAAGUUUCAGCUGGAGUCCCCGAUACUAUGGGUUGUGGUUGAAUUUAUGGAAGAACUUGGUAAUGCAAGAAAAAUGUACUGCACUGAACAAGCAUCUUUAAAAGGAACCAUGAGGUACCUCAGAUGUGUGGCCCUGAUCUUCUGGAGGUAUUCUGGUCAUUAAACGGGCCUCACGGAGGCCAGGGCCAUUCCCAACUGUUCCCAGAAAGGUCAAGCUCAAUAGAAGACUUUCCCUACUGCACACAUCUAGUUAACACCUCCUGGAGGCCAUCAGCAUAAAUCACAAAGAGAAAAGUUUUAUCUUUUGUCUUCCUUCUUGCCUUGAGAACACUAAGGGGAGGUUCGUGGGGGAAGAAUUUAAUCUAGAUUCUUCAAAGUAAACUGAGCUGUUGCUAUUUCUGGGGUCUAAAGGAUGAAUGAAAACUGUCUGAAACCAAUCGAAACUGGUCAUCAAUAUAGAAGUAUAGGGCAGCAUAUUUUAAUUGUAUUCAUGCACUAUUAUGACUUUUUCUACCUUAAGAAUUCCUGUUAAAGAAGUGCAAGUCAUAAAGAUUUCUGGGCUAUGAAAGCAAGUGUUAAAAGUCAAUGUGAAGGAGGAUACUCGAAACUACCCCAUCCAUACUAGGCUACAGAAGGCCACAGGUGGGACCUCCAUGUAACUGGGUUAUGUUUAUGAGAAGCCGUAACAUGGCUUGCAAUAAAGUAAUGCAAUCUUGAGUUACCACUCCCUGAGUGAGGAGUAUCCU